Selaginella moellendorffii is the source of this 1122-nucleotide RNA transcript. RefSeq lists it as uncharacterized. Lineage: Eukaryota; Viridiplantae; Streptophyta; Lycopodiopsida; Selaginellales; Selaginellaceae. The transcript has 4 exons. The record is from RefSeq and is a predicted model, not a curated record.
UAUCAAACGGAACAUUUCAGUCUCUAUCAACUUUGGCCGAAUGAAGUUAACGUGGAUUGUUGGGGUCGCAAGCAGAGCCAUGCUGUGAGGGAUUGACGAUAAGGUUUCUCUUCUUUGAAUAUUUCCAUGUCCACACGUUAUGAAGAGGAUAUUGUCGUUUAAAAGCGAGCUUCAUCGAUCUGCUUGAUUAUUUUUUUCUUCUUUUUCCACUUCGAAGAAUGUCAGAAACAGAAGCAUUGCUGCUGAUGGUAUGCUUCUUACUUGCUCACGCAGCAGCAGAUCUCAAUGAGGAGAUGAGAGAUUUUCUCCGAGACGUGAAUCCUCCGUUUGUCAUAAAUCAUACGGUUUGUUUUUUCGUUUUCAGAUCCUUGUGAACAGUUAUCAAAUCGAGACAUCAUCCUCUGCGUCCCAAUUAAAAAUCAACUGUCUCUAAGAAACCAGACACUGCAGCUUCGGCCUGCUCAAAUGAUGAGCAAACAAGAGCACAAUGGAUCAGAAAAUUCCGGUCAGCUGUUUGGUUUAGAAGUUGGAUCGUGCAAGGAAAACACAAUACCGGUGUUGCACACUUCGAAUACCAUAGUCGCAAGAUUUGAUUCUGUGAGGAAGCUAACCAAAAAACAUUCCUCUGGAAAAAAUCGAGUGCCAUUGGCUGAUGAAGAACCUGGCGUAGAAACUCAUGAGCAUGGCUACAACCAGUUGAACGGCAACUUCCAAGGGAUGGAAACAACUAUAAAUGUUUGGGAGCCAUACGUGGAACAAACUUCCGAGUUCAGUCUGUUGCAGUUGUGGAUUAUCUCAAACAAAUUAGGCCCAGGUACUCCAUAACACCAUCCUUGCCACAGUGAAGCAGGAUGGCAGGUGUGUUGAAAUUUAGAUGUUUCUAUACUGAACCUUGCUUGAAGGUUUAUCCUAAUUACUAUGGAGGAACUGGGCCUCGACUCUUUGUCUACUGGACGGCUGAUGGCUACAGAAAUCAAGAAACUAGGAAAAAUAUCACAAGCAAUCUCUCAUGCUAGUAAUCUCCAUCAACACAUUGUGACUGGACUCAUGCUUAAGGAUUAGCAUGAGGCCUUAUGCUAAAGUGCUAAAAAGAUUUUGAUUUGUCUAGUUUCUUGAUGGUAA